This 888-nucleotide ribosomal RNA is filed under the name uncultured bacterium. Its description in RNAcentral is "bacterial SSU rRNA". It matches the Rfam family "Bacterial small subunit ribosomal RNA", at positions 8 to 892 of the family's 1533-position model. The record is from RNAcentral.
AGAGUUUGAUCCUGGCUCAGGAUGAACGCUGGCGGCGUGCUUAACACAUGCAAGUCGAGCGAAGCACAUAAGUUCGAUUCUUCGGAUGAAGACUUUUGUGACUGAGCGGCGGACGGGUGAGUAACGCGUGGGUAACCUGCCUCAUACAGGGGGAUAACAGCUAGAAAUGGCUGCUAAUACCGCAUAAGACCACAGUACUGCAUGGUACAGUGGUAAAAACUCCGGUGGUAUGAGAUGGACCCGCGUCUGAUUAGGUAGUUGGUGAGGUAACGGCCCACCAAGGCGACGAUCGGUAGCCGACCUGAGAGGGUGAUCGGCCACAUUGGAACUGAGACACGGUCCAAACUCCUACGGGAGGCAGCAGUGGGGAAUAUUGGGCAAUGGGCGAAAGCCUGACCCAGCAACGCCGCGUGAGUGAAGAAGGCUUUCGGGUUGUAAAGCUCUGUUGUUGAGGACGAAGGAAGUGACGGUACUCAACAAGGAAGCCCCGGCUAACUACGUGCCAGCAGCCGCGGUAAUACGUAGGGGGCGAGCGUUGUCCGGAAUGACUGGGCGUAAAGGGCGUGUAGGCGGCCGAUUAAGUAUGGAGUGAAAGUCCUGCUUUCAAGGUGGGAAUUGCUUUGUAGACUGGUUGGCUUGAGUGCGGAAGAGGUAAGUGGAAUUCCCAGUGUAGCGGUGAAAUGCGUAGAGAUUGGGAGGAACACCAGUGGCGAAGGCGACUUACUGGGCCGUAACUGACGCUGAGGCGCGAAAGCGUGGGGAGCGAACAGGAUUAGAUACCCUGGUAGUCCACGCUGUAAACGAUGAAUGCUAGGUGUUGCGGGUAUCGACCCCUGCAGUGCCGGAGUAAACGCAAUAAGCAUUCCGCCUGGGGAGUACGGCCGCAAG